CAAGGUAUGACAGACCUGUGAGAUAACCAUCUUCUUUAGCAAAUUGGAUUUCCAUAAGUAAAUCUCCAAGUUCUCGUAAUUUGGUGUGGUCUUUAGCUGAAAUCCUAGGAAAGCUGUCCAACCUCUGAAAUAGUGACUGUUCAAUGAUUUCUGGUGCAGCAAAGCACUCACAUAGUCUCUCCAAUGCUUUGUGUAAAGCGAGAUUGGGGUUGUUGACAUGCACGGAUGCGGUUCACCUGUUCGCCAGAUUCUUUUCCCAGCCAUUUAGUCAUGAGGUCUAUCUCUUGGCUUGCUGUGAGGUGAACUUCAUGAGUUGCACUGGUGAACGAAGAAUACCAUGCCCGAUAAUUUUCGGGCUUAUCAAAUUGAUAAAAUCCCGUCGUGCUAAAUACUGUGCCAAAGGCUCUGCUUGAGGUGGCGUGUUAACUUGAGGAACGUAUCGAGGAGCAUAUGACUUUGCAUGCAUAUUCAUGAUGGGGCUUUUGAUUUCAGACUUCAUCGCACCUGCAGACAGAUCAGGCGGACUACAAGUUACAAAGCUAUUAUGUGAGUCAGCGUGGGAUGGGUGACAGAUCUUCCCCUUUCAACUGCAGCAUGCAUUGAUAGUUCAACAUCUUCCAGCACUUGUGCCUCCACUGCAGCUGCAUCAGCUUCUCUAUGUAGCGUUAACACUUCCAACUCAGUGUCUAUUCUUACAGUUUCCAGUUGAUUUUGAGCUUCUUUUGCAGCCUUUUCAAUUUUUAGCAUAGCCUCUUGGCUGGCAUAUGAUGCUCUUACUUUAAAAGCUUCAGCUCUGGCCUGGGCGUGAGCUGCACUCGUUGACGAUGUGGAUGACUUGCCACUUCAAGCGCUGUACACAGACGACUUGCUGUUUGCUGCCAUCUUACAAACUUUUAACAUCACAUGUUGCCUUUUCACUGUAGUGUCCUCGUGCAGUGUGUUGAAACUCCAACUAAACACCAAGUUAAACCACAGCCAAUGAAGACAGAGUCGUAGUAAGGUUGAUCAUU
This is a non-coding RNA of Misgurnus anguillicaudatus (oriental weatherfish), 1010 nucleotides long. The record is from RefSeq and is a predicted model, not a curated record. Lineage: Eukaryota; Metazoa; Chordata; Actinopteri; Cypriniformes; Cobitidae.